GCGGUCUUAGUAUAGUGGUCUAGUACAGCUCGUUGUGGAUUUGAAUCGCCUAGAUUCGCUUCUUCUGAGCCGAGCAGACGGAUGUUCGAUUCCUCCAGACCGCA
This 104-nucleotide transfer RNA is filed under the name Mycosarcoma maydis (corn smut). RNAcentral describes it as "tRNA-His for anticodon GUG". It matches the Rfam family "tRNA". Rfam says of the family: Transfer RNA (tRNA) molecules are approximately 80 nucleotides in length. Their secondary structure includes four short double-helical elements and three loops (D, anti-codon, and T loops). Lineage: Eukaryota; Fungi; Basidiomycota; Ustilaginomycetes; Ustilaginales. The record is from RNAcentral.